AUCAGUUCGUCAUGGUCUGAGACAACUUCUGGUUCUAUCCCAUGGGACGAGGAACUGUCUGUUUUUUCAUUAUCAGAUGCAUCAGAAUCUGAGUCUAACUUGAUAGAAUCCAAUGUAAGAGCAGCACUGGUAGGGGCAGGUUCUGAGGCUGCCAAAGCAGGAUUUCCUCUUGUCCAAAUUGCAGGCAUCUUCUUGUCAUCCUCUUUCAUCCUCUCAGCAUAUUUAUUUAUAUCAAAACCCGAUGUAUCAUUUCCCCCAAAUGCAGCCUCCAGUUUAUCAAUAUCAAAUAGAUCCUCC
Molecule: long non-coding RNA, 297 nt
Filed under: Prunus persica (peach)
Lineage: Eukaryota; Viridiplantae; Streptophyta; Magnoliopsida; Rosales; Rosaceae
Description: long non-coding RNA (PPER_LNC001554)
Source: RNAcentral